RNAcentral lists this ribosomal RNA (402 nucleotides) under uncultured bacterium. RNAcentral's name for it is "bacterial SSU rRNA". It matches the Rfam family "Bacterial small subunit ribosomal RNA", at positions 29 to 421 of the family's 1533-position model. The record is from RNAcentral.
AUGAACGCUGGCGGCGCGCCUAAUACAUGCAAGUCGAGCGAGAAGACGUAGCAAUACGUUUGUAAAGCGGCGAACGGGUGAGGAAUACAUGGGUAACCUACCCUCGAGUGGGGAAUAACUAGCCGAAAGGUUAGCUAAUACCGCGUACGCUUCUUGGACUUCGGUUCAGGGAGGAAAGCGAUGCCGAGGGUAUCGCGCUCUUGGAUGGGCUCAUGUCCUAUCAGCUUGNGGUGAGGUAACGGCUCACCAAGGCUUCGACGGGUAGCUGGUCUGAGAGGACGAUCAGCCACACUGGCACUGCGACACGGGGCCAGACUCCUACGGGAGGCAGCAGUAAGGAAUAUUGCGCAAUGGGCGAAAGCCUGACGCAGCGACGCCGCGUGGGGGAGUGAAGGUCUUCGG